Molecule: long non-coding RNA, 1564 nt
Organism: Passer domesticus (house sparrow)
Lineage: Eukaryota; Metazoa; Chordata; Aves; Passeriformes; Passeridae
Exons: 3
Source: RefSeq, a predicted model, not a curated record
GAAGGUAGUGCAGGUGUGGCAGGUUGUCUGCAUUGCCCUUUUUUAUUUAUUUUUUUACAUACCUGUGUAUAGUGCUUUUUAUUGCCACUGGAUGUAGUUCUCUUAGAAUGAGUCAGUAUUUCAAACAUUAAACCUGUCUUCUGGUAAUAGGAUAUGCAGAAGAGAUAAAUCAUCUCAGGCCUGCUUCAUUGCAGGUUAAAGAUAGUAAUUUGUGUGCAUCCUCAUAGUCCUCAGUCUUCAAUGGACUCUCUCUGGGUCGUCUGUUGUUCCAUGACUAGACAGCUUUUCAUCUAUGAAGUCACUGUUAAGAAACAUCAUUAAUAAGAAAAAAGCGGUCAAACUGCAACCAGUUUGGGACCAUUCUCUGACUUCCAAAACAUCUGAUUGCUACACCUUGGCACAAGCAUCUCUACCCGAGAGGAUGGAGCCUGGGGGAGGAUAAAGCUGAAAAAUCAGGAAGAUUUAAAGUGGUGCAUGACUCUGAGAAUUUCUCUAAAUUAAAGAUAGAAAAUUCCUAGAAAAUCAGUCAUAAAUCUAUAGUAUCAAAGUGUAGGGCAUCUAGUGAUCUCUUAUGCUAAAAUUUUGGAAUGUGGAUAAUUUUUUUGUAAGGGUUGUGUCUGUCCCUCACUCGGUUUUUAUUUAUGACUGAAGUUGAUGAGGGUAUGGGUAUCAAGCUUUAGGAACUUAUUUGUCUCUGGAGGGGCAGGGAUGAACGUUGUUUCUGUGGAGUUUUUGGUGUUUGUUUGUUGUUUGUUUGGUUAUUUUAAAAUCUCAUCAAAUUCUACUGCCUUCCUCAAAAAUGCACUGUACAAUGUGCAUGUUAUGGGGCCCUAUUUUGUUUAGAAUUCAAGUUUUCUGGGGGGUUUAUGGAGGAUUUUUUUUUUUGCAAAAACUCCCUAGUAUAUAAUUCUUGAAGCAUAAAAAAUAGGACUAUAAAAAUUUUCAAAGCAAAACAAUCUUCUGCCUGCACUAUAAUUCAAAGCAGAUGGGGGGGCUCCUAGAAGCACAGCAACUGGGCUUCUAUUUCAAUUGGACAAAAUUACUUUAACUUUUUCUACUUUGCUGAUUGGAUGGGUUUGAAAAUUGGGAGUAACCUUGAAGACCAAGCAGAGAAAUUCAGUAUUCUGUGCCCACCAAAGGAGAUAGAGGUGUUCAAGGGCCAGGGACUGAGCUGCCUUUUAGCAGAUGCUUUGUUGUACAGGCAGACCCUUGUAGAUCCUGCUAGGGUGUGACAGUGAAAGUAGAUACUGAAAUAGUCAUGAGCACCCUUUCCCUGUGCUUUCACCCUCUCUGUUCAUGUCUCACCUCUUUCCAGAAACAAAUUAAGAGAAGAACUGUGUAUGCUAUCUCUGUAAAUUAAAAAAACAAUAGCUGGACGAUUUUAAGAGCCUCUUUCCUGGCAGGCACAUCUCGUCAGUCAUAGGAACCGAUUCAGAGGCACAGUAGGUUUCCAGCCAUUAGCAGAUGUUGUAGGUUACAUUCCAUUCACCACCCUUGGAAAAAAUACCCAGCAUGUAUUCUAACAAAGGAGAACUGUGCCUCUUGGGAAGAGGAUUGCCAUGCU